UGCAAAAGUGAACAUAGCGUGAUAUUGAUCCGGCUCAUCUAUCUUCAAUUAAAUUCAGAUGAGCCGAAUUAAUAUCACUCUUGUUUGCUUCAUU
RNAcentral lists this microRNA precursor (94 nucleotides) under Trifolium pratense (red clover). Lineage: Eukaryota; Viridiplantae; Streptophyta; Magnoliopsida; Fabales; Fabaceae. The record is from RNAcentral.